GACACCGGCUACGGAUGGCCAUGCGGCGCAUUAGCUGGUUGGCGGGGUAACGGCCCACCAAGGCGACGAUGCGUAGGGGUUCUGAGAGGAAGGUCCCCCACACUGGUACUGAGACACGGACCAGACUCCUACGGGAGGCAGCAGUGAGGAAUAUUGGUCAAUGGGCGCGAGCCUGAACCAGCCAAGUCGCGUGAGGGAAGACGGUCCUAUGGAUUGUAAACCUCUUUUGUCGGGGAGCAAAAGACGCCACGCGUGGCGUUCCGAGAGUACCCGAAGAAAAAGCAUCGGCUAACUCCGUGCCAGCAGCCGCGGUAAUACGGAGGAUGCGAGCGUUAUCCGGAUUUAUUGGGUUUAAAGGGUGCGCAGGCGGAAGAUCAAGUCAGCGGUAAAAUUGAGAGGCUCAACCUCUUCGAGCCGUUGAAACUGGUUUUCUUGAGUGAGCGAGAAGUAUGCGGAAUGCGUGGUGUAGCGGUGAAAUGCAUAGAUAUCACGCAGAACUCCGAUUGCGAAGGCAGCAUACCGGCGCUCAACUGACGCUCAUGCACGAAAGUGUGGGUAUCGAACAGGAUUAGAUACCCUGGUAGUCCACACAGUAAACGAUGAAUACUAAUUGUUCGGGGAGAAUGAUCCCUGA
Molecule: ribosomal RNA, 634 nt
Filed under: uncultured bacterium
Lineage: Bacteria
Description: bacterial SSU rRNA
Rfam family: Bacterial small subunit ribosomal RNA
Source: RNAcentral